AGCAGCCGCGGUAAUUCCAGCUCCAAUAGCGUAUAUUAAAGUUGUUGCAGUUAAAAAGCUCGUAGUUGAAUUUCGGGGAUCAGACUGUCGGUUGUGCCUCGGUACGCACUGGCAUUAUUGGUUCCUACCUUCUGAAGAACCGCGAUGUCAUUAAUUUGGUGUCGCGGGGAAUCAGGACUGUUACUUUGAAAAAUUAGAGUGUUUAAAGCAGGCGCACGCUUGAAUACAUUAGCAUGGAAUAAUGAAAUAGGACGUUUGAUUCUAUUUUGUUGGUUUCUAGGAUCGACGUAAUGAUUAAUAGGGAUAGUUGGGGGCAUU
RNAcentral lists this ribosomal RNA (318 nucleotides) under uncultured Glomeromycotina. Its description in RNAcentral is "SSU rRNA". It matches the Rfam family "Eukaryotic small subunit ribosomal RNA", at positions 569 to 892 of the family's 1831-position model. The record is from RNAcentral. Lineage: Eukaryota; Fungi; Glomeromycota.